RNAcentral lists this ribosomal RNA (497 nucleotides) under uncultured bacterium. RNAcentral's name for it is "partial 16S ribosomal RNA". It matches the Rfam family "Bacterial small subunit ribosomal RNA", at positions 28 to 507 of the family's 1533-position model. The record is from RNAcentral.
GAUGAACGCUGGCGGCGUGCCUAAUACAUGCAAGUCGAGCGAACGGACGAGAAGCUUGCUUCUCGGAUGUUAGCGGCGGACGGGUGAGUAACACGUGGAUAACCUACCUAUAAGACUGGGAUAACUUCGGGAAACCGGAGCUAAUACCGGAUGAUAUUUUGAACCGCAUGGUUCAAAAGUGAAAGACGGUCUUGCUGUCACUUAUAGAUGGAUCCGCGCUGCAUUAGCUAGUUGGUAAGGUAACGGCUUACCAAGGCAACGAUGCAUAGCCGACCUGGGAGGGUGAUCGGCCACACUGGAACUGAGACACGGUCCAGACUCCUACGGGAGGCAGCAGUAGGGAAUCUUCCGCAAAGGGCGAAAGCCUGACGGAGCAACGCCGCGUGAGUGAUGAAGGUCUUCGGAUCGUAAAACUCUGUUAUUAGGGAAGAACAUAUGUGUAAGUAACUGUGCACAUCUUGACGGUACCUAAUCAGAAAGCCACGGCUAACUACGUG